UGGGGAAUUGUUCGCAAUGGGCGCAAGCCUGACGACGCAACGCCGCGUGGAGGAUGAAGAUCUUCGGGUCGUAAACUCCUGUCGAAUGGGACGAAUGAGUCGCGGGUGAACAACCCGUGAUUGUGACGGUACCGUUAGAGGAAGCCCCGGCUAACUCCGUGCCAGCAGCCGCGGUAAUACGGGGGGGGCGAGCGUUGUUCGGAAUUACUGGGCGUAAAGGGCUCGUAGGCGGCCAACUAAGUCAGACGUGAAAUCCCUCGGCUUAACCGGGGAACUGCGUCUGAUACUGGAUGGCUUGGAUUUGGGAGAGGGAUGCGGAAUUCCAGGUGUAGCGGUGAAAUGCGUAGAUAUCUGGAGGAACACCGGUGGCGAAGGCGGCAUCCUGGACCAACAUUGACGCUGAGGAGCGAAAGCCAGGGGAGCAAACGGGAUUAGAUACCCCCGUAGUCC
Molecule: ribosomal RNA, 450 nt
Filed under: uncultured bacterium
Lineage: Bacteria
Description: bacterial SSU rRNA
Rfam family: Bacterial small subunit ribosomal RNA
Source: RNAcentral